RNAcentral lists this unclassified non-coding RNA (590 nucleotides) under Hevea brasiliensis (rubber tree). Lineage: Eukaryota; Viridiplantae; Streptophyta; Magnoliopsida; Malpighiales; Euphorbiaceae. The record is from RNAcentral.
AUCCAUUGAUUUUUCUUUAGUAAAUUCGUACAACUGACUACCACCUCAAAUCUUUUAUCAAGAAAUUCAAAAGCAGUAAUCUACAAAAACAACAAUUAUGUUUGAUAAAAAUCGCAUGAAAGGAAAGCAAGAAUCUUUCCAAGAAGAAGAAAAGAUCAAGUACCGCUACAAAAACCCUCUUAGGCUAUCAUCAUCAGAAAGCAGAUUCACAUACGGCGACGUUUCUAUAUCAUCCGCCACAAGAUCAUCCGUGCUCCUGAGCAGCGCGUGUAAAAUGACCAAAACGAUACCGAUUCCGACCGCAACCACUACAUUAAGCCAAACGCCACUCCAAACCAACACCAAAACCGUCACCGCAAAAAGCGCAACUAAAACCAGCAAAUCAUUAACCUGGUAACCGAAAACACUGAGGGGCUCCUCGCGAGAGAAGUAAAGAAAGACCCAAGCAACGAGCGUGAUAAAGAAGGCGAUUAGGGAGAGAGGAUGAUAAAGGAGACUCAAGAAGAGGACAAGCAAGACGAUGAUUGAGUAAUUAGCACGGAAAUGAGUGAGGUUCUGAGUUAAACGAGUAGUGGCGUCGGGGAUGGAGG